RNAcentral lists this ribosomal RNA (253 nucleotides) under uncultured bacterium. RNAcentral's name for it is "partial 16S ribosomal RNA". It matches the Rfam family "Bacterial small subunit ribosomal RNA", at positions 524 to 776 of the family's 1533-position model. The record is from RNAcentral.
UACGUAGGGUGCAAGCGUUAAUCGGAAUUACUGGGCGUAAAGCGUGCGCAGGCGGUUUUGUAAGUCUGUCGUGAAAUCCCCGGGCUUAACCUGGGAAUUGCGAUGGAGACUGCAAGGCUAGAGUCUGGCAGAGGGGGGUAGAAUUCCACGUGUAGCAGUGAAAUGCGUAGAGAUGUGGAGGAACCCCGAUGGCGAAGGCAGCCCCCUGGGUCAAGACUGACGCUCAUGCACGAAAGCGUGGGGAGCAAACGGG